Molecule: unclassified non-coding RNA, 246 nt
Filed under: uncultured fungus
Lineage: Eukaryota; Fungi
Description: partial contains 5.8S ribosomal RNA, internal transcribed spacer 2, and large subunit ribosomal RNA
Source: RNAcentral
AACGCACAUUGCGCCCGCCAGCAUUCUGGCGGGCAUGCCUGUUCGAGCGUCAUUUCAACCAUCAAGCCCCGGGCUUGUGUUGGGGACCUGCGGCUGCCGCAGGCCCCGAAAACCAGUGGCGGGCUCGCUAGUCACCCCGAGCGUAGUAGUUUACACCUCGCUCAGGGCGUGCUGCGGGUUCCGGCCGUUAAACCCCAAAUACCCAAGGUUGACCUCGGAUCAGGUAGGAAGACCCGCUGAACUUAA